GCCUAGCUAUAACACACAAUCAAACUACAAAUUGUUCGCCAAACAACUACGAGAAAUACUUAAAACUUAAAAGACUUGACGGUACUUCACCCCGACCUAGAGGAGCCUGUCUAAUAACCGAUAACCCACGAUUAACCCAACCACUUCUUGCCCUACAGUCUAUAUACCGCCGUCGCCAGCUUACCUUGUAAAAGAAAUAAAGUGAGCCAAAUAGUAACACACUAAAACGACAGGUCGAGGUGUAACCCAUGAAGAGGUUAAGAUGGGCUACAUUCUCUAACAGAGGAUACGAACAACACUAUGAAAUUAGUGUUCAAAGGCGGAUUUAGCAGUAAGACAAGAAUAGAACACUUAACUGAAAAUAACGCAAUGAAGUGCGCACACACCACCCGUCACCCCUGCCACCAC
Molecule: ribosomal RNA, 408 nt
Filed under: Trimeresurus cantori (Cantor' pit viper)
Lineage: Eukaryota; Metazoa; Chordata; Lepidosauria; Squamata; Viperidae
Description: partial 12S small subunit ribosomal RNA
Source: RNAcentral